UGAGGAAUAUUGCACAAUGGGCGCAAGCCUGAUGCAGCAACGCCGCGUGAGGGACGAAGGCCUUCGGGUCGUAAACCUCUUUUCUGGGGGACGAGUAAGGACGGUACCCCAGGAAUAAGUCUCGGCUAACUACGUGCCAGCAGCCGCGGUAACACGUAGGAGGCGAGCGUUAUCCGGAUUUACUGGGCGUAAAGCGUACGCAGGUGGCUUCGUUAGUCGGACAUGAAAGCUCCUGGCUUAACUGGGAGAGGUUGUUCGAUGCUGCGGGGCUUGAGGUUGGGAGAGGGACGUGGAAUUCCCGGUGUAGUGGUGGAAUGCGUAGAUAUCGGGAGGAACACCAGUGGCGCAAGCGGCGUCCUGGCCCACACCUGACGCUGAGGUACGAAAGCGUGGGUAGCAAACAG
Molecule: ribosomal RNA, 404 nt
Filed under: uncultured bacterium
Lineage: Bacteria
Description: bacterial SSU rRNA
Rfam family: Bacterial small subunit ribosomal RNA
Source: RNAcentral